Molecule: transfer RNA, 29 nt
Filed under: Trichopodus microlepis (moonlight gourami)
Lineage: Eukaryota; Metazoa; Chordata; Actinopteri; Anabantiformes; Osphronemidae
Description: partial tRNA-Thr
Source: RNAcentral
GCCCUAGUAGCUCAGUGUUUAGAGCGCCG